AGCAUGUUGUUUAAUUCGAUAACCCACGACAAAUCUUACCACUUCUUGUAUAUUAUUUAUCUUAAUAUAUAAAAAUGUUUAUAUUAUUUUAAUAUAAUAAAGAGUAUAUUAUCAAAAUAAUACAGGUGUUGCAUGGCUGUCUUUAGUUCGUGUUGUGAAAUGUUAGGUUAAUUCCGAUAACGAACGCAACCCUUAUUUUUAAUUAUAAAUUAUAAAAGUAAAUUGUGUAAUUUAAUUUAAAAAAAUAUCUUUCUAUAAGAAAGAGUAAUUAGGAUGAAGACAAGUCCUCAUGACCCUUAUGAAGUGGGCUACAGACGUGCCACAUAGAUUUCAACAAAAGGAUGCAAAGAUGAAAAUUAGAGCUAAUCCUGAAAUAAAAUCUUAGUUCGGAUAAGAGUCUGAAACUC
Molecule: ribosomal RNA, 407 nt
Filed under: uncultured Pneumocystis
Lineage: Eukaryota; Fungi; Ascomycota; Pneumocystomycetes; Pneumocystales; Pneumocystaceae
Description: SSU rRNA
Rfam family: Bacterial small subunit ribosomal RNA
Source: RNAcentral